Molecule: long non-coding RNA, 302 nt
Organism: Oncorhynchus tshawytscha (Chinook salmon)
Lineage: Eukaryota; Metazoa; Chordata; Actinopteri; Salmoniformes; Salmonidae
Source: Ensembl
CUGGAGAGGUCUAGAGGGAGGAGGAGAGACAUGCUGGGGCUGGAGAGGUCUAGAGGAGAGAGACAUACUGGGGCUGGAGAGGUCUAGAGGGAAGAGGAGAGACAUGCUGGGGCUGGAGAGGUCUAGAGGAGAGAGACAUACUGGGGCUGGAGAGGUCUAGAGGAGAGAGACAUACUGGGGCUGGAGAGGUCUAGAGGGAAGAGGAGAGACAUGCUGGGGCUGGAGAGGUCUAGAGGGAAGAGACAUGCUGGGGCUGGAGAGGUCUAGAGGAGAGAGACAUGCUGGGGCUGGAGAGGUCUAGA